UACGUAGGGUGCUAGCGUUGUUCGGAAUUAUUGGGCGUAAAGCGCGCGUAGGCGGGUUUGUAAGUCGAUUGUGAAAUCCCUGGGCUUAACCUGGGAAUGGCAGUCGAAACUGCAAAUCUUGAAUACCUAAGAGGAUGGCGGAAUUCCCGGUGUAGUAGUGAAAUACGUAGAUAUCGGGAGGAACACCUGAGGCGAAGGCGGCUAUCUGGUGGUGUAUUGACGCUGAGGCGCGAAAGCGUGGGGAGCAAAC
This 250-nucleotide ribosomal RNA is filed under the name uncultured bacterium. RNAcentral describes it as "partial 16S ribosomal RNA". It matches the Rfam family "Bacterial small subunit ribosomal RNA", at positions 524 to 773 of the family's 1533-position model. The record is from RNAcentral.